AACGAACGCUGGCGGCAUGCCUAACACAUGCAAGUCGAACGAGACCUUCGGGUCUAGUGGCGCACGGGUGCGUAACGCGUGGGAAUCUGCCCUUGGGUUCGGAAUAACAGUUAGAAAUGACUGCUAAUACCGGAUAAUGUCUUCGGACCAAAGAUUUAUCGCCCAGGGAUGAGCCCGCGUAGGAUUAGCUAGUUGGUGAGGUAAAGGCUCACCAAGGCGACGAUCCUUAGCUGGUCUGAGAGGAUGAUCAGCCACACUGGGACUGAGACACGGCCCAGACUCCUACGGGAGGCAGCAGUGGGGAAUAUUGGACAAUGGGCGAAAGCCUGAUCCAGCAAUGCCGCGUGAGUGAUGAAGGCCUUAGGGUUGUAAAACUCUUUCACCUGUGACGAUGAUGACGGUAGCAGGAGAAGAAGCACCGGCUAACUCCGUGCCAGCAGCCGCGGUAAU
Molecule: ribosomal RNA, 450 nt
Filed under: uncultured bacterium
Lineage: Bacteria
Description: bacterial SSU rRNA
Rfam family: Bacterial small subunit ribosomal RNA
Source: RNAcentral